GGAGGAACAUGUGGUUUAAUUCGAUGAUACGCGAGGAACCUUUACCCGGGCUUGAAAUGCAUCUGACGUAGGCAGAGACGUCUAUUCCCUUCGGGGCAGAUGUGUAGGUGCUGCAUGGUUGUCGUCAGCUCGUGCCGUGAGGUGUCGGCUUAAGUGCCAUAACGAGCGCAACCCUCAUCAUUAGUUACCAACAGGUCAAGCUGGGGACUCUAGUGAGACUGCCAUCGUAAGAUGUGAGGAAGGUGGGGAUGACGUCAAAUCAGCACGGCCCUUACGUCCGGGGCGACACACGUGUUACAAUGGGUGGUACAAAGGGCAGCUACCUGGCGACAGGAUGCUAAUCUCGAAAACCACUCUCAGUUCGGAUCGGAGUCUGCAACUCGACUCCGUGAAGCUGGAUUCGCUAGUAAUCGCGCAUCAGCCAUGGCGCGGUGAAUACGUUCCCGGGCCUU
RNAcentral lists this ribosomal RNA (452 nucleotides) under uncultured Proteiniphilum sp. RNAcentral's name for it is "bacterial SSU rRNA". It matches the Rfam family "Bacterial small subunit ribosomal RNA", at positions 931 to 1382 of the family's 1533-position model. The record is from RNAcentral. Lineage: Bacteria; Pseudomonadati; Bacteroidota; Bacteroidia; Bacteroidales; Dysgonomonadaceae.